GCGGCUGUAGCUCAGCUGGAUAGAGUACUGGGCUACGAACCAAGGGGUCGUGGGUUCGAUUCCUGCCAGCCGCACCA
This 77-nucleotide transfer RNA is filed under the name Comamonas thiooxydans. RNAcentral describes it as "tRNA-Arg (ACG) (tRNA-Arg-ACG-2-1)". It matches the Rfam family "tRNA". From Rfam's summary of the family: Transfer RNA (tRNA) molecules are approximately 80 nucleotides in length. Their secondary structure includes four short double-helical elements and three loops (D, anti-codon, and T loops). Further hydrogen bonds mediate the characteristic L-shaped molecular structure. tRNAs have two regions of fundamental functional importance: the anti-codon, which is responsible for specific mRNA codon recognition, and the 3' end, to which the tRNAs corresponding amino acid is attached (by aminoacyl-tRNA synthetases). tRNAs cope with the degeneracy of the genetic code in two manners: having more than one tRNA (with a specific anti-codon) for a particular amino acid; and 'wobble' base-pairing, i.e. permitting non-standard base-pairing at the 3rd anti-codon position. Lineage: Bacteria; Pseudomonadati; Pseudomonadota; Betaproteobacteria; Burkholderiales; Comamonadaceae. The record is from RNAcentral.